RNAcentral lists this unclassified non-coding RNA (690 nucleotides) under Corethrogyne filaginifolia var. filaginifolia. RNAcentral describes it as "partial external transcribed spacer". Lineage: Eukaryota; Viridiplantae; Streptophyta; Magnoliopsida; Asterales; Asteraceae. The record is from RNAcentral.
CCUUCGGACCAAAAUUGUUGUAUGGCUUGUGUGGGGCGAGGGGCACAACGUGAAUCCGUAAUAGGCCAUGGCGGGUGYCUUUUUAAGCAUCCAAGCCAUACAACAAUUUGGGGUUGGGAGGUGAGGUGAUGGAUAUAAAUCGAUGUAUGUUUAUUGUCGGAUGAUAUGGUUGCGUGAUUUAAACUAGACAUACAUCGAUUUAUAUGGCGCUUAUCGAURUAUGGCUUGUGUGGGGCGAGAGGCACAACGUGGAACUGUAAAAGGAUCUGCAAGGGUUUCCCAAACCACACAAGCCAUACAUCGGUUGUAAGUCGGAUGUCGCUUAUCGAUGUAUGGCUUGUGUGGGGCGUGAGGCACAACGUGGAACCGUAAAAGGAUCUGCAAGGGUUUCCCAAACCACACAAGCCAUACAUCGGUUGUAAGUCGGAUGUCGCUUAUCGAUGUAUGGCUUGUGUGGGGCGUGAGGCACAACGUGGAACYGUAAAAGGAUCUGCAAGGGUUUCCCAAACCACACAAUCCAUACAUCGGUUGUAAGUCGCAAAACAACCACAAUUGUUGUAUUGCUUGGAUGUGUGCGAGAGGCACAACGUGAAUCCGUAAUAGGCCAUGGCGGGUGUCUUUUUAAGCAUCCAAACCAUACAACAUUUGGGGGGGAUUAUUCUAGCGGGUUUCAUUCUCUUCGUAUCGUGC